Molecule: long non-coding RNA, 557 nt
Filed under: Fukomys damarensis (Damara mole-rat)
Lineage: Eukaryota; Metazoa; Chordata; Mammalia; Rodentia; Bathyergidae
Description: lncRNA (ENSFDAG00000024049.1)
Source: RNAcentral
CUGGGUGGCCCUGGGUAUGGAUGCCCCACCCACUGUGCCUGCUCUACCUGUUUCUUCCUCUUCCUCUCAUGGUCAUUGGCCACAUCCUUUAUAGUCAGCUGCACAGUGCCCUUUUCUCCGAGUGCUGUGACAAAACCCCAGGAAGGCCGUGGGAAGCCUAUCAGUCAGAAGCACCGGGCAUAGCCUUGGCCCUGUGCUUUGUGUCAGAAGUGGACGCCCCAGCCUGUGGGAGCCGAGCUGUUCUGGGUCAGGUGUCAGAGGUUCUAGACGUGCAUGGACUGAAGGUUUCCACGGGCAUGGACAGGAGGACUGUACUCCCGGGUGCACAGGAGGCAGGAUGUCCACGAAGCCGUGUUUGGUCAGUAGUGGUAAAAGGGUAAUAAAAGGCGAGGGCAGGGACUGGUUUCUUAGUGGCCAUCUAGAGGCCCAAGAGGCUGGCCUGGCAGGAAGCAGGCACGUUUAGGUCUGAGGACACCGACGCUUUUCUUAUGGAGAAGAGAGUUGGACACCGUAUACCUAGGUUGUCAGCCAGUAGCAGAAUUCAAAACUAACAAACC